ACAGGAGAUCCAGAGUGAGCUGACCCAGUUGGAAGAGAAAUACCAGGAGGCGCUGGACCUCAGUGUGGCCGGGCACCUCGGGAUGUCUGACUACCAUGAAGAGGAGGAGGAAGAAGACGAGGACGAUGA
Haliotis rubra (blacklip abalone) is the source of this 129-nucleotide long non-coding RNA. RefSeq lists it as uncharacterized. The transcript is spliced from 3 exons. The record is from RefSeq and is a predicted model, not a curated record. Lineage: Eukaryota; Metazoa; Mollusca; Gastropoda; Lepetellida; Haliotidae.